GACGAACGCUGGCGGCGUGCUUAACACAUGCAAGUCGAACGGAAAGGCCUGCUUUCCCUUGUGGAUUGCGGGUACUCGAGUGGCGAACGGGUGAGUAACACGUGAGUGAUCUGCCCCCAACUUGGGUAUAAGCCUGGGAAACUGGGUCUAAUUCCCGAUAGGACUGCAGGGUGGUGCCUGUGGUGGAAAACGAUUUUCUAGUGGUUGGGGAUGAGCUCGCGGCCUAUCAGCUUGUUGGUGGGGUAAUGGCCUACCAAGGCGGCGACGGGUAGCCGGCCUGAGAGGGUGGACGGCCACAUUGGGACUGAGAUACGGCCCAGACUCCUACGGGAGGCAGCAGUGGGGAAUAUUGCACAAUGGGCGGAAGCCUGAUGCAGCGACGCCGCGUGAGGGAUGACGGCCUUCGGGUUGUAAACUCCUUUCGACCGCGAGGAAGCCACCUGGUUGGAAGGGUGGUGACGGUAGUGGUAGAAGAAGCACCGGCUAACUACGUG
Molecule: ribosomal RNA, 494 nt
Filed under: uncultured bacterium
Lineage: Bacteria
Description: partial 16S ribosomal RNA
Rfam family: Bacterial small subunit ribosomal RNA
Source: RNAcentral